This 497-nucleotide ribosomal RNA is filed under the name uncultured bacterium. Its description in RNAcentral is "partial 16S ribosomal RNA". It matches the Rfam family "Bacterial small subunit ribosomal RNA", at positions 28 to 507 of the family's 1533-position model. The record is from RNAcentral.
GAUGAACGCUGGCGGCGUGCCUAAUACAUGCAAGUCGAGCGAACAGACGAGGAUCUUGCUCCUCUGACGUUAGCGGCGGACGGGUGAGUAACACGUGUAUACCCUACCUAUAAGACUGGGAUAACUUCGGGAAACCGGAGCUAAUACCGGAUAAGAUAUUGAACCGCAUGGUUCAAUAGUGAAAGACGGUUUUGCUGUCACUUAUAGAUGGAUCCCGGCCGCAUUAGCUAGUUGGUAAGGUAACGGCUUACCAAGGCAACGAUGCGUAGCCGACCUGAGAGGGUGAUCGGCCACACUGGAACUGAGACACGGUCCAGACUCCUACGGGAGGCAGCAGUAGGGAAUCUUCCGCAAUGGGCGAAAGCUUGACGGAGCAACGCCGCGUGAGUGAUGAAGGUCUUCGGAUCGUAAAACUCUGUUAUUAGGGAAGAACCAAUGUGUACGUAACUAUGCACGUCUUGACGGUACCUAAUCAGAAAGCCACGGCUAACUACGUG